UACGUCAGGACGUGGUCUGGGGUGUGGGGCUGAGCCAUGGGCCAAGAGCAGUUUAGCAGCCAGUGCUGGGGUCUGUGGGGCAGGACCCACGGGCAGCGUCCUAUGUGGUACCAAGUGGGGAUGGAGCCAGGCCCAGGGGAAAUGCCCCUGCAAUCCCAGCCACCCCUGGACAUAGCAACAGGGGCCCUGGGCUGGCCAGGGUUAGCUUAUUGGCCUCUGGUCCUCACUCUGAUCUUAGGUGCACUGGCCAUCACAAUCCUGCUGACCGAGAGGGGCUACUCCCCUGAGGAACCCCAGGUCAAACCCCAGACAGAUGGACACAGAGCCCCGGACUCCGGUGCGGCUGCGCUGGCUGAUGUCGUGCACCUGCUGGACGCUGUGAUGGAGAAGUUGGGGAGGAAACUUCAGUGCCUGGAGACACGGAGACCCGCCCAGUGUUGUCAAGGACCCCUGUGACCACCAGGACCCCGAGAUGGGAGCCAGCUGGAUGGGGCCCCCUUUCUGGACUGACUGCAAUAAAGAGCCUUGGGAGCUGGA
Molecule: long non-coding RNA, 537 nt
Organism: Pelodiscus sinensis (Chinese soft-shelled turtle)
Lineage: Eukaryota; Metazoa; Chordata; Testudines; Trionychidae
Source: RefSeq, a predicted model, not a curated record